Non-coding RNA from Cricetulus griseus (Chinese hamster), 116 nucleotides. Lineage: Eukaryota; Metazoa; Chordata; Mammalia; Rodentia; Cricetidae. The record is from Rfam.
GGCAUGGGCAAACGUUGAAACGCCCCCUAUCUCGUCUGAUCUGGGAAGCUAAGCAGGGUCGGGCCUCGUUAGUACUUGGAUGGGAGACCACCUGGGAAUACCGGGUGCUGUAGGCA